This 345-nucleotide ribosomal RNA is filed under the name Triticum aestivum (bread wheat). Its description in RNAcentral is "partial small subunit ribosomal RNA". The record is from RNAcentral. Lineage: Eukaryota; Viridiplantae; Streptophyta; Magnoliopsida; Poales; Poaceae.
AUGGCUUCUUCAAAACUACAAGCCUUCUGGAAUCACCCUGCUGGCCCCAAAACCAUUCAUUUCUGGGCUCCAACAUUUAAAUGGGGAAUCAGCAUAGCAAACGUUGCCGACUUUGCUAAGCCUCAUGAAAAGAUAUCCUAUCCACAGCAAGUAGUUAUUGCUUGCACUGGAAUUAUUUGGUCACGCUAUAGCAUGGUUAUCACACCGAGAAACUGGAACCUUUUCAGCGUUAGCGUUGCGAUGUCCGGUACAGGCCUAUACCAGCUUUCUCGUAAAAUAAGGAAAGAUUACUUCUCGGGUGCUGAAAAGGAGGCCGUUGCUGCAUCACUGGAACUGGAAGUAUAG